AACAAACACUCUUCAGGUGUCCAAAUGCAGGAAGACAGAGGAGAACAUCCUCCCACACUGACCUUCACAAAAGCACACUUCAGAGCACGUGACUGUACCUUAUUCCUCUUCUGAUGGCUUCUGUUGGAGCACACGUUAUGGUAUCGAUACAGUCAGUUCUGCGAUACUGCUUAUUAUCCAGGAACCACCCGGAGUCUGCCAAGCCGCGAACCUGGAUCCCUUGGUAGCCCAUCUCCUCCAGCUGCUCUGCCACACGAUCCACGUUCAGCAGCACUCCUGUUCCUCCAGCACUGCAACAGCAAUUUGAGUACUGCAGUGACGAUGCAGAUAUGGCCACGGCACGGCUGCUAGCAUACGUCUCCUCUCACAGCAGCCACACUCUAAACAACUUCAUUUACCCACAGGACAGCCCCGUGGAGAACAGGUGGAGGGUUUGCUGCUGAGGCCUCUUUCCAAAGGGCUUUCUGCUGUGGAUGCCCUGCAGACACAUACCUGCUCCCUGCCAGCAGCAGCACUUUUGCAGUGCUAAGACCUUUUCCCACGAGCUCCUUGAUGACCUCCUGGAUGAUCAGCGCUCCCAUGAAGGCAUAUUCAUCUGAAACAGAGACCUCAGUGUCAACAAAGCUGUUUCCUGCCCAGGGUUAGACCUUCCCUUCCCCUCCACAAAUGCAUAAGAACAUUACAGAAGGACCACAGAUCUAAACACUGGCCUGUUCCCUCCACCUGCAUGUCCCCCCGUGUUAAACUUCCCUGAAAGAAGUGAAUAAGCAGUGAACAGAAUACAAGGUAACACCAGCAGGCCUUCCUACAGAGUGCUCAGUAAUUGGUGAGCUAAGAGAAGGAAAAGGAGAGCAAAGCAGACUGUUUCUGUAGGUAUUACUCCUUGUAACAUCUUAACUCAGUGAGCACCAGGUGAAACAGAUCACAGGUAUGAAAUUCAGCUCCAUCUGGGAGAGGACUCCUCCAGGCAGAUGCUGAGUUCUGGCAUUAUCAAAAGGACAGCUGAUGCAAAGCGGGCACAUAUGCAAAGCAACGAUUCUUUUUGCAAAGAAUUCUGCGGAUAGCUUUAGUGUGACACGCAAGAGCUCCUUUCCAAGGACAGAAAUCUCCCCGAGACAAGUUUGAAGUUCAGUUCACUUGCCUCUCCCAUCAGCAAAGCCAAAGUCACAUGCAACAAACCAUGGCUCCUCAGCUGCACCGUUUAAUUUGCUGUGUGCUGGAAGCCGGGGAGUCAUCCAAAAGGAAUUCAGUUCCUCUAAUCCUCGCCUACUGCAUCAGUAACAUCUCCGCAAGCAGUGGCUCUGAACUAUGUCAAAACAGACUGUGCUAAAGAGAUCAGGAUGUUUUAUCUGGAAGUAGCUGGAUAUUCUUUCCUGCCCUUCAGUGAGAAAAGCCUGUUCCCCAUUCGCGCAUUUCACAGAAGUCUGGCCAUAGCCUUCAAAGUACAACGGCUGCGGCAGCAACAGCCCGUCAGCAACACUCACUUUUCUCAGACUUGGAAGAGGCACCGCUCCAAACAUCACUUGAGCAAUACGGGAUGAAUCUGUAAAAGAGUUGUGUGAGUGCUGCGUUCCUGCGGGGUGAGGAUGGGGUCACACGACUGAAGAAAAUUAAACCCUGGGGAGGGGAGAAGGGAAAGGCUUCUCAUCCACACAGCCCCUGACAUACCCUCCUGCACAGCCUAUACCCGUUACCUCCUAACGCUGCUGGCUUUACUGAGAUAAAUCAACAAAGAACGUGUCUUUUGUUGAUCCAGCUGAAGUGCUAUGCCAGGUGGGCAGGGCAGGGGGCUGUGAUGUUGCCCUCAGCUCCCACUGACACAGUGGUGCCUGCACAGUGAAACUGUGCUUCAAUUCUGUCACACCUACAUUGAGAAGAUGCUCAGCCGUGCAACGCUGAGUGCAGCCACCGAGGGGCCACGCAGGAAUGAUUUUACCUUCCCAAUCUGCCUACAGCUUGCAGGAUGCACGUUCACAUCCCUCUGCUUUUCCCUCCUACACAGACGCGUAGAAACGGAUCUUUCUCAUUUCUCCUCUUUGAACUAAAGGAGUGAUUCCAUGCCCCCCCCCGAGCUGGCGGACACACAACACGCCACGGGAUUUGCCACUUCAUCUAUUUGAGAAGGCUCUCAGCUACCCCAAGUCCUUCUCCAUCACCCCACGGCUCCCUGCAGAGCAGACUUGGAGCUCUCUAGUCCAGGCCGGCACAACUUCAGCUAGAUGUGUAUGGCACCCACGGAGGAAACGGGCAAUUUCCUCAUGGGGCUGUUGGCCUUAACCUGUCCCUGCAGCAUUCCUGCUACCCCAAAGCAGGAGGUAACAGCAGAAGCCAUCUCCCCGAGCAGUCUCUCUUACACCAUGUUGGCGUUCCACCAGUGGGGGUUCUCCUCCGGCUGUGACGACAGGAUCCCCGUUCCUGCAGAUGGACGCAAAGAGGGAACAUUCAGUGACACUCUGAUUUCUACGUGAGCUUCAGAGCGUGGUUUGCGUUAGGGCUGGAGCCUGCCUACAGAGCUCCAUCCAUACAGCUCCUGCAGCACAGAAAGGCCCCACGGCACAGAGAUGAGCACUUCCCUGACACCGAAUGCCCUCAGGUGAGCACCUGCAAAUGGGAGCAGUAGGAUGGGGAGGGACUGAGUGCAACCAGAAGGAAGGGAGGCUGGCAGUGCUCUGCCAGCCCCGGAGCCCCGCAGCUCUGGGUAUCGAUUCAGCUUACGUGUGACAUUAAAAAGCCAAAGGUACUUCUAUGUGCACCGAUGCAUACAGCACCGCGAUCCGAGUGGGGAAGGGGUGUACUGAGAGAAGCACAGACGCGCUUCAAAACAAGCGCCCAAACCAAGCUUUAGAAGAUCCCGGCGGGUCUGGAGCGCAUUUACAAUAAGGAGGGGACGCGAGUCGGAGUUCCGUGAGGCCGCGCUGCCCACAGCCUAACAAACACCGCUCCCCCACGUGCCCGCCGGGCGACGCUCACCCACUCUGGUCGCGGGCCACUCCUUGGAGCUCAUCAGCCUCCGCAUGGUGUCGUAGCGCGUGUCGCAGUUCUCCCUGUUGAAGCAGUACCAGCCCCCUGCGGGGCACCGCGGGUCACGCCGCGCCGCCCCCGCGCGCAGGCGCGGGCUGCCCGGAGCCGAGGGCAGGCGGCCAGCGCGGGGCCGCCCCGAGCCGCGCCCGGGCGAGGCGGCGCCGGAGGCUCACCUUCCAGGAACAGCAGCCACCGCCGACUGCCCUUCGACUCUUUGAGGACAGAGCUGGAUGGAGGCAGCGGGGAAAAGCUUCAGCUGAAGGGAUUCCAGUGGCUAACCCAGGCUCCCCUUCUUAACGACAGGAGCAACCAAAGCACCGUCCACGGCUGACUCUUCGGGAACGCGUUCAGCGCAGCAGAGGCGGUGCUGGGAGCGAAGGGAGGCUCCGGUCCGCUCUGAGGGCACACGAUGUGACGGAUCCUGGCUCCCUCCGCUCCUCCCGGCGCACACCUCAUGUGAACGGACGAGCUCGCAGCGCUGAUCGCGGGGC
Molecule: long non-coding RNA, 3512 nt
Filed under: Gallus gallus (chicken)
Lineage: Eukaryota; Metazoa; Chordata; Aves; Galliformes; Phasianidae
Description: long non-coding RNA NONGGAT003282
Source: RNAcentral